This 443-nucleotide ribosomal RNA is filed under the name uncultured bacterium. RNAcentral describes it as "partial 16S ribosomal RNA". It matches the Rfam family "Bacterial small subunit ribosomal RNA", at positions 338 to 795 of the family's 1533-position model. The record is from RNAcentral.
CCUACGGGAGGCAGCAGUGGGGAAUAUUGGGCAAUGGGCGCAAGCCUGACCCAGCAACGCCGCGUGAAGGAAGAAGGCCCUCGGGUUGUAAACUUCUUUUAUCAGGGAUGAAACACAUGACGGUACCUGAUGAAUAAGCCACGGCUAACUCCGUGCCAGCAGCCGCGGUAAUACGUAGGUUGCAAGCGUUAUCCGGAUUUACUGGGUGUAAAGGGCGUGUAGGGGGGUCUGCAAGUCAGAUGGUAAAUCCCAUGGCUCAACCAAUGAACUGCAUUUGAAAAUGUAGAUGUUGGGUGUGGGAGAGGCAGGCGGAAUUCCGUGUGUAGCGGUGAAAUGCGUAGAGAUACGGAGGAACACCAGUGGCGAAGGCGGCCUGCUGGACAUUAACUGACGCUGCGGCGCGAAAGCGUGGGGAGCAAACAGGAUUAGAUACCCUUGUAGUC